Molecule: ribosomal RNA, 468 nt
Filed under: uncultured bacterium
Lineage: Bacteria
Description: partial 16S ribosomal RNA
Rfam family: Bacterial small subunit ribosomal RNA
Source: RNAcentral
GACGAACGCUGGCGGCGUGCUUAACACAUGCAAGUCGAACGGAAAGGCCCUGCUUUUGUGGGGUGCUCGAGUGGCGAACGGGUGAGUAACACGUGAGUAACCUGCCCUUGACUUUGGGAUAACUUCAGGAAACUGGGGCUAAUACCGGAUAGGAGCUCCUGCUGCAUGGUGGGGGUUGGAAAGUUUCGGCGGUUGGGGAUGGACUCGCGGCUUAUCAGCUUGUUGGUGGGGUAGUGGCUUACCAAGGCUUUGACGGGUAGCCGGCCUGAGAGGGUGACCGGCCACAAUGGGACUGAGAUACGGCCCAGACUCCUACGGUAGGCAGCAGUGGGGAAUAUUGCACAAUGGGCGGAAGCCUGAUGCAGCAACGCCGCGUGCGGGAUGACGGCCUUCGGGUUGUAAACCGCUUUCGCCUGUGACGAAGCGUGAGUGACGGUAAUGGGUAAAGAAGCACCGGCUAACUACGUG